This 314-nucleotide unclassified non-coding RNA is filed under the name plant metagenome. Its description in RNAcentral is "partial contains 5.8S ribosomal RNA, internal transcribed spacer 2, and large subunit ribosomal RNA". The stretch from base 1 to 105 matches the Rfam family "5.8S ribosomal RNA", at positions 50 to 154 of the family's 154-position model. The record is from RNAcentral.
GAAAUGCGAUAAUUAAUGUGAAUUGCAGAAUUCAGUGAAUCAUCGAGUCUUUGAACGCACAUUGCGCCCCCUGGUAUUCCGGGGGGCAUGCCUGUCCGAGCGUCAUUGAUGCCCUCAAGCACGGCUUGUGUGUUGGGCUUCCGUCCCUGGCAACGGGGACGGGCCCAAAAGGCAGUGGCGGCACCAUGUCUGGUCCUCGAGCGUAUGGGGCUUUGUCACCCGCUCCCGUAGGUCCAGCUGGCAGCUAGCCUCGCAACCAAUCUUUUUAACCAGGUUGACCUCGGAUCAGGUAGGGAUACCCGCUGAACUUAAGC